CUCGAGCGAGUCGACGACGACGAGGAGGCCUGUGUCGUCUCCGGAUCACAUCCGAACGAUCGGCAAUACGCGAGUAGCAGAUUAUACCGAAUGGUCGACAGUAGAAAUUCCCCAAAGCACGACCAGCGGCCAUGAUUGGUGGUGGUCAAUUGCAACGUGGUCAGAUGUUACAUGGACGAAGGGAGAAGAAAAGAAAGAUUUCGAGAAAAUCGAACGAAAUUUUCGUCCUCUACGAAUUUUUUAUCGAGGAAAAGGGGAUGCUUUUGUGCGAACGAAUUAAUAUCGGCUACAAGCGAUCAAUUUGAUUGACGGAGGAUUACGCGGGUCGGCAUUCAAGAAUGCGAAACGAGAGGAAUGGAUGAAGUCUCGAUGAAAUUAAAAUUGUAAUGCGGCGGACGCGCGCGGCACACGUAUGGAGCGGAGAAGUCCCUGAGAUUUUAAUAUCUGCCUAUUGAGACGGGUAUCGCAGAAAUACUGGAGAGAACAAUGGAAAGAAGAUCAGAACUUCGCGCUCGAACGUUUUUUGUACCUGUAGAAAUCUACUUUUAAUGUCAUAUGAGACGAAAAACUCUUCGAAGCGAGACAAGGCUCGGCUGGGAUCGAACCCAAGUUUUCCGUCUGCCCGGUAACCGCUCUUACCACUGAACUAUUUCAACUUCAUGUCAGUGAUAUCUUCUGUUUUCACAUUUAAAGUAUUUUACUCAUAUGUACCUCGUACUUAUGUAUACGAGGUACAUACGGGAAGUCGUGUACCUUCUAAACAAAAGUACUGCAAGUUCAUUUCGUGUAUAUAAUAUGUGUAAUAUAAUAUCUACCAGGUGUAGAAGUAUGAAACCGGAAUUUUUUUGU
This is a long non-coding RNA of Dinoponera quadriceps, 849 nucleotides long. RefSeq lists it as uncharacterized. The transcript is spliced from 5 exons. The record is from RefSeq and is a predicted model, not a curated record. NCBI's taxonomy places the organism in Eukaryota, Metazoa, Arthropoda, Insecta, Hymenoptera, Formicidae.